Molecule: ribosomal RNA, 552 nt
Filed under: Simulium hargreavesi
Lineage: Eukaryota; Metazoa; Arthropoda; Insecta; Diptera; Simuliidae
Description: partial 16S ribosomal RNA
Rfam family: Archaeal large subunit ribosomal RNA
Source: RNAcentral
CCCGCCGCCCUGUUUAUCAAAAACAUGUCUUUUUAGAAUUUAAUAUAAAGUCUGACCUGCCCACUGAAAAUAUUUUGAAGGGCCGCAGUAUUUUGACUGUGCAAAGGUAGCAUAAUCAUUAGUCUUUUAAUUGAAGGCUGGUAUGAAUGGUUGGAUGAGGUACAUGCUGUGUCAUAAAAAUUAAUAAUUGAAUUUACCUUUUUAGUCAAAAGGCUAAAAUUUUUUUAAAAGACGAGAAGACCCUAUAGAGCUUUAUAUAACUAAUAUUUAAUUUAUUUAGAUUUUUAAAAUUUAAUUGUUAAGUUGUAUUUUGUUUGGGGUGACAAUAAAAUUUAUAAAACUUUUAUUUUUAUUUAACAUUAAUUUAUGAUUAAAUGAUCCAGUUUUAUUGAUUAUAAAAUUAAGUUACCUUAGGGAUAACAGCGUAAUUUUUUUUGAGAGUUCUUAUCGACAAAAAAGAUUGCGACCUCGAUGUUGGAUUAAGAGUAAUUUUGGGUGUAGAAGUUCAAAGUUUAAGUCUGUUCGACUUUUAAAUUCUUACAUGAUCUGAGU